GAUGAACGCUGACAGAAUGCUUAACACAUGCAAGUCAACUGUGGCGGACGGGUGAGUAACGCGUAAAGGACUUGCCUCACGGAUAGGGACAACAUUUGGAAACGAAUGCUAAUACCUGAUACUGUGAGAGAGCUUUGCGUCCCAUUAGCUAGUUGGAGAGGUAACGGCUCACCAAGGCGAUGAUGGGUAGCCGGCCUGAGAGGGUGAUCGGCCACAAGGGGACAGAGACACUGCCGUUACACCUACGGGAGGAAGCAGUGGGGAAUAAUGGACAAUGGACCAAAGUCUGAUCCAGCAAUUCUGUGGGCAGGAUGAAGUUUUCGGAAUGUAAAGUGCUUUCAGUUGGGAAGCGGUACCAACAGAAGAAGUGACGGCGAAAUACGUGCCAGCAGCCGCGGUAAUAC
Molecule: ribosomal RNA, 404 nt
Filed under: uncultured bacterium
Lineage: Bacteria
Description: partial 16S ribosomal RNA
Rfam family: Bacterial small subunit ribosomal RNA
Source: RNAcentral